GCGUCCACUACAAUCUCUGGACCCGUAAUUUGACUAUCCCCCACCUCCGCCCAACAGAGAGGUGACCGGCAUUUACGUCCGUACAAUGCCUCAAAUGGAGCGGCUUGAAUGCUGGUAUGGUAACUGUUAUUGGUUUGGAUAGUUCGCUCAGACUGCCCAUCCGUCUGAGGAUGAUAUGCUGUGCUCAUGUCUAACCGUGAGCCGAAAGAUUUGUGCAUCGCUUGCCAAAGCUCUGACGUGAAUCGUGCAUCGCGAUCCGAAAUGAUAGAGGUGGGCACUCCGUGCCUCGAAACAACUUCUUUCAUGUAGAUGUCUGCUAGGGUAGAAAACUUAUCCGUUUCUUUGAUAGCCAAGAAGUGAGCAGACUUUGUGAGCCGAUCAACGAUCACCCAAAUAGUGUCAUUCCCACGCUGGGAUCUAGGUAAGCCCGUAACAAAAUCCAUGGAAAUUUCUUCCCAUUUCCAUUGCGGUAUCUUAGGCUGCUGAAGCAGGCCUGAUGGUUUCUGGUACUCGAUUUUAACCCUUGCACAAGUUAAGCACUUGCCGACGUAAGUUGCGAUAAGAGCUUUCAUGUUUGGCCACCAAUAAGUUGUUCUGAUAUCGUGGUACAUCUUAUCCGACCCUGGAUGUACCGAGUAGCGAGACUUGUGCGCUUCAUCCAUCACAAGUUCGCGUAAGCCGCCAUAAAGUGGGACCCAAAUACGCCCCGUUACAUAGUAGGCGCCGUCUUCCUUUUGUUCCAUUUGUUGCCUUGAACCGCGCAAGGCUUCAGCCUUGACGUUUUCGGGUUUUAGUGCUUCUAUCUGAGCAGCUCGUAUCUGUGCAGGAAGACUGGACUGAAUAGUAAGUUGUAGCGCUCGCACGCGCUUAGGUAGAGUGUCUUUCCGACUGAGGGCAUCAGCCACAACAUUGGCCUUGCCUGGAUGAUACUUGAUGGCGCAUUCAUAGUCGUUUAGAAGUUCAACCCAUCUCCGUUGACGCAUAUUCAAAUCCUUUUGCUUAAGAAUAUGCUCGAGACUCCUGUGAUCGGU
Molecule: long non-coding RNA, 1031 nt
Filed under: Helianthus annuus (common sunflower)
Lineage: Eukaryota; Viridiplantae; Streptophyta; Magnoliopsida; Asterales; Asteraceae
Source: RNAcentral